UGUUCACACAGGAAUGCUGACUCUCUGGGUCAUCAGCCCAUGCCAAAGGCCACUAGGGAGAAAAAAAACCAUAGUUAAGUCCCAGAUGUUUGACCAAAGCCAAAGAGGCUUGCCCCAGGCUGCAUCUCACACACUUUCGUCAAGAUAUUGUGCAAAUUUCUGCCGAUGAAUUCUGUCGUACUCGGAAAGAUGCCACACAGAAAGUCAAGAAAACCAAAGUACUUCAAUGAACCCGAAUAGAAGAUAGAGAUAAAAGGCUUAUCAAAGUAUGGAUUUUUUCCCCUCCUAAUGGUUUCUGAAAACCCAGAACAUUCCUGGUUCACCACAGGUUCUCAAAAGGGCCCAGGAGCCUUGGAGAGAAGCAUGUGUCUCUACUAUAAUGCUGCCCUCUUAUGGAUGCUUGGAAAGUUUGUGGUGAAGAGUGGUGUGAUUAUCAAGCUUUGGUUUGACUCUGUUUAACAAAUCGUCAAACUCUUCUUUGGGGGAAUGGAAAGGGUAGUCUUGAUUGGAGGGUAGUGGUAUCUGGAGGGGAGACAGGAGUGGUAAAGAAAAUAAGACUUAAAAAAGAAGAAUUA
This is a long non-coding RNA of Peromyscus eremicus (cactus mouse), 575 nucleotides long. RefSeq lists it as uncharacterized. The record is from RefSeq and is a predicted model, not a curated record. Lineage: Eukaryota; Metazoa; Chordata; Mammalia; Rodentia; Cricetidae. The transcript has 4 exons.